GACAGGAGAAUGACAAAUCAUAUUUUUUCCCAUGAUAUUCAACUUUUUCUUCCUAAAAAAAAUUCAAAUCCAACUAAAAAUGUUAAAAAUCGGGAGGAAAAAUCUAAUUUGUCAUUCUCCCAUU
This is a non-coding RNA of Gossypium raimondii (Peruvian cotton), 124 nucleotides long. NCBI's taxonomy places the organism in Eukaryota, Viridiplantae, Streptophyta, Magnoliopsida, Malvales, Malvaceae. The record is from Rfam.